UUAAGAAAAUAAGUGCAAGCGGUGGAUGCCUUGGCAUUCAGAGGCGAUGAAGGACGUGAUAAUCUGCGAUAAGCUUCGGUUAGCUGGUAAAUGAGCUAUGACCCGGAGAUUUCCGAAUGGGGGAACCCACCUGACACAAGUUGGGUACUCACUCGAUAUAGAGUGUAGAGCGAACGAGGGGAACUGAAACAUCUAAGUACCCUUAGGAAGAGAAAUCAAUUGAGAUUCCCGUAGUAGUGGCGAGCGAAGUGGGAAGAGCCUGGUAUGAUUUAGCUGUAAUUAUAGUAGAACAAGUUGGGAAGCUUGACGAUAGAGGGUGAUAGUCCCGUAUACGAAAUAAUCACAGUGGAACUAAGCAUACGAACAAGUAGGACGGGGCACGUGGAACCUUGUCUGAAUAUGGGGGGACCAUCCUCCAAGGCUAAAUACUCCUGAAUGACCGAUAGUGAACUAGUACCGUGAGGGAAAGGUGAAAAGAACCCUUAUAAAGGGAGUGAAAUAGAAUCUGAAACCGCUUGCAUACAAGCAGUAGGAGCAUGAUUUAGUCAUGUGACUGCGUACCUUUUGUAUAAUGGGUCAGCGAGUUAUUUUUAGUGGCGAGGAUAACUGAAUAAGGGAUCCGUAGCGAAAGCGAGUUUUAAUAGGGCGACUAGUCGCUAGGAGUAGACCCGAAACCGGCGCGAUCUAUCCAUGGCCAGGUUGAAGAUUAGGUAGUACUAAUUGGAGGACCGAACCCAAUACUGUUGCAAAAGUAUGGGAUGAGCUGUGGAUCGGAGUGAAAGGCUAAUCAAGCACGGAGAUAGCUGGUUCUCCCCGAAAACUAUUUAGGUAGUGCCUCGUGUAUAACUCAUUGGGGUAAAGCACUGUUUCGACAAUGGGGGUUUUACGACCUUACUGACUCGAUGCAAACUCAGAAUACGA
This 921-nucleotide ribosomal RNA is filed under the name Francisella tularensis subsp. holarctica. RNAcentral describes it as "partial 23S ribosomal RNA". It matches the Rfam family "Bacterial large subunit ribosomal RNA", at positions 1 to 965 of the family's 2925-position model. The record is from RNAcentral. Lineage: Bacteria; Pseudomonadati; Pseudomonadota; Gammaproteobacteria; Thiotrichales; Francisellaceae.